Molecule: small nuclear RNA, 62 nt
Filed under: Otolemur garnettii (small-eared galago)
Lineage: Eukaryota; Metazoa; Chordata; Mammalia; Primates; Galagidae
Description: U7 small nuclear RNA
Rfam family: U7 small nuclear RNA
About the family: Animal histone pre-mRNAs are spliced by a different mechanism than nuclear pre-mRNAs and self-splicing introns.
Source: Rfam by way of RNAcentral
AAAUGUUAAAGUUCUUUUAGAAUUUACCUAGCAGGCCUUCCGCUCUCUAUCAGAAGGCCCCC